AGAGGAUACCCUUUGUAUGUUCACUUGAUUAAUGGCGAAUAUACAGGGGGAGACUCUUAU
Molecule: microRNA precursor, 60 nt
Filed under: Pongo abelii (Sumatran orangutan)
Lineage: Eukaryota; Metazoa; Chordata; Mammalia; Primates; Hominidae
Also listed under: 1 other name
Source: RNAcentral